This 253-nucleotide ribosomal RNA is filed under the name uncultured bacterium. RNAcentral describes it as "partial 16S ribosomal RNA". It matches the Rfam family "Bacterial small subunit ribosomal RNA", at positions 524 to 776 of the family's 1533-position model. The record is from RNAcentral.
UACGGAGGGUGCGAGCGUUAAUCGGAAUUACUGGGCGUAAAGCGCACGCAGGCGGUCUUUCAAGUCAGAUGUGAAAUCCCCGGGCUCAACCCGGGAACUGCAUUUGAAACUGGCAGUCUAGAGUAUUGUAGAGGGGGGUAGAAUUCCAGGUGUAGCGGUGAAAUGCGUAGAGAUCUGGAGGAAUACCGGUGGCGAAGGCGGCCCCCUGGACAAAUACUGACGCUCAGGUGCGAAAGCGUGGGGAGCAAACAGG